GUUCUGCACCCGGGACCGGCUGUUUCCUCACCAGGCACUCACUGGUUUGCGAAUUAUGCUUUGAAAAUUUCCCAGUGGACAUUAACCAUUAACCAGCCACAACUUCCCUGGGCUCCUCCUGUGCCUCCCAGGGCUGUUCCUCCUCUGUUGUUAUCUGGCUGCAGCUCUCAGAUCCAGAGACAUCAGGGUAAGAAAAUAUGUUCAGCUGAUGCACCAGCAGAAAUUCACCUGACUGCAGGCUCUGAAAAUCUGCCUUAUAAAUUCCUCUUGUCUUUAUAAAACACUGAGCAAAACUAAAAAAUUCUUCUGCAAGAAGCUGGAUGGAUGAACUUGGAACAACCUCUGAAGUGAUUACCCUGGCAAGAACAGCGAGUUCCUCCUGAGGAGGCAUUAAAGUCAGUUCAUGUGAUGCACACUUUUGGGUUCCCACCUCCCACAGGAACACAUCAGAAGACAAGGUCUCUUACUGUAACUUUUCCCCAAUGAAACACCAGGAAAAACAUCAUUUAUCUUUUAGUGUCUUGAGGAAUCUGUCUGAACCUCUGGGUGUGGGACACACUGUGUUUGGCAGUCACGGGCAUGGAUCAGCGCAAGGACAGCAGUUUAUUCCUCCAGCCAAUAGGAAGAAGAUGGUUUGUACUGGUGAAUCUCUGCUGAGGGUGGAAGGAGCCAAGAACUUCCAUAACUGCCCCUACAAAGGAUUCCCACAGAGCUUUGUUUUGUGUGACUGUGGAAAAAGAGGUGGAUUUGUGUUGCCUGUAAGCUCAUCCCAUCACUGCUGAGCGCUUUGUUUAUCCAUUCUCCAGGAAAGAUGCACUGUGCUGUCAUGUUUGAUUGUUAGGAGGUUUUAUGAGGUCUCUGCUGGAAUAACUUUAAGGUUGUUCUGUCCUGAGGCAGGAGCACCAAGGCUCUCCUGCUCUCGCUGGGGCGUGUGGAACACUGAGCUGCCAUGAACUGAACUCUUCAGCGUGCAGAGAACUGUCCCAGUGAGCAGAGCUGUGCUCAUUUACUCCCUGCAGAGAAAUCACAUUUGCUCCCACAGCAUUUUCUCUUGGGAGGAGCAGUUAUUGGCUUGUGUCACAAGCAUCCUGUCUCUCCUCGGUGAUUUAUUCCUCCAGGCACACACGGAUCCCUUUCACCGCUCAGGGAUCCAAAUUCCACUCCCAUCCACUGCAGGAGUGUGUGGGGCUGUGAGCACAGAAAUUGCUCUUGGGUAUCAGUUCCAGUUCAUCUGGUUUUGUUUCUGGUGCAGUGCUGCAGAGUGUGGUGUGUGUGUACAAACACACACGUGCUUGCAGGGAUAAAAGGCCUCAGCAGCCUCCUGUAUCCAUUAGCUGACCCAAAUUCUGCCCAGACUUGCAGAGCCUGUCAGGAUAACCAGAAUAGCAGUAGAUAAUCAGAAUGGCAAAAUUCCCCUUCUUCUUUUACCUGCUGCAGCUGGUUUGAGGGCAGUAUAUUUCUAUAAGUAUUUUAUAUAUAAAUAAUAGUCAGUAUUCUAUUAGCCUGUACAUUAUUAUGCAUAGGGUAACAUUUUUCUUGUUUUAAGGGUGAAUAAAACAAUCAAAUUCAAGACA
Parus major (Great Tit) is the source of this 1574-nucleotide long non-coding RNA. Lineage: Eukaryota; Metazoa; Chordata; Aves; Passeriformes; Paridae. The record is from Ensembl.